This is a long non-coding RNA of Oryza brachyantha (malo sina), 934 nucleotides long. RefSeq lists it as uncharacterized. Lineage: Eukaryota; Viridiplantae; Streptophyta; Magnoliopsida; Poales; Poaceae. The transcript has 3 exons. The record is from RefSeq and is a predicted model, not a curated record.
UGUUCGGUAUCAUUGACAUCGACGACAUGAACCUUGGCCGUCGUCGCCAUGGAUUCGACGCCGCCUCCUCCUGCGCUCCCUGUGGUCUCGCAACCCUCCGCCACCAUCGCUGGAUCCAAACACUUCCUCCAUCGAUGCCUCCUAACGUUGUAUCCAUAUGUCUUCUAAGAGACCUCCGCACCCGGCCGUGAUUUCUGCAUCUACUCUGCCUAUUGUUUCACUGCUUGCAUCAAUCGCAUCGUCUUCUACUCAUGUAUUGUCUAUGGUAGCUCAAGGAGGGGUAUUGUCCUCAAGUACCUCAAAUGCCAAAAAAAGUUAAAAAAAAGUCAUCAGCAACAAAGCGGCUAAAAUCACCUGUCAUAAGAAUUGUGAGAUCUCUAGGUAUUCAGAUCAUGAUGUCACCUAUCCUAAGGUCAACAUCUACCACAAGGGCAUUAUCCCCCAUCUGCAACACAAGAGAGGUCCCCUUCGUCUUCUUCUGAUGAAGCGAUGAGGCUUAGACGUCGAGGGAGAGAUGGUUGUGGAAGCUCAGUGUGUUCAUUGUGGCAAAGUGCUUAAGGCAACAUGAGAUGUUGGCACUAGUAGUUGUCGUAGACAUUUAGCAAGUUGUGAGGGUAAAGCUAGAUUGGAUCAAAUGUGUUCUCAACUAAAAUUAUUUGGUACAUGUGUUGAUUCCCUUAAAAAUUGAAGAUUUGAUCACGAAGUUUCUUGGAAAAAGCUUUUGGAGCUAAUUGUCACUCAUGAGCUACCCUUUAUCUUUGUUGAAUACCCCAAGUUUAAAAGUUUUGUGGAUAGUUUAAAUCCAUGUUUUAAGUUUGUCACAAGAAAUACAAUAAAGGCUGAUUGUAUCAGUGAGUAUGAGAACCAAAAGAUAACCUUACGAGGGCUUUUGAGUGGAUUAAAUUCUAGGCUUUCCCUCACGACUGACAUGUGG